AGCAAGGUAGCUUAGUUGGGAGAGCGUCAAACUGAAGAUCUGAAUGUCAUGUGUUCGAUUCACACUCACCGCAU
This 74-nucleotide transfer RNA is filed under the name Zingiber officinale. RNAcentral's name for it is "tRNA-Phe". The stretch from base 6 to 67 matches the Rfam family "tRNA", at positions 6 to 65 of the family's 71-position model. Rfam says of the family: Transfer RNA (tRNA) molecules are approximately 80 nucleotides in length. Their secondary structure includes four short double-helical elements and three loops (D, anti-codon, and T loops). Lineage: Eukaryota; Viridiplantae; Streptophyta; Magnoliopsida; Zingiberales; Zingiberaceae. The record is from RNAcentral.